RNAcentral lists this ribosomal RNA (366 nucleotides) under Papilio memnon extremus. RNAcentral's name for it is "partial 16S ribosomal RNA". Lineage: Eukaryota; Metazoa; Arthropoda; Insecta; Lepidoptera; Papilionidae. The record is from RNAcentral.
CAAUAGUCUCUUAAUUGGUGACUUGUAUGAAAGAUUGGAUGAGAUAUAUACUGUCUCUAAUUAAUUUAUAGAAUUUAAUUUUUUAGUAAAAAAGCUAAAAUAAGUUUAAAAGACGAGAAGACCCUAUAGAGUUUAAUAAUUUAUUUAAUUAUUAUUAAUAUAUAAUUUUUAAAAUUAAAAUUAAAUAGAUUAUUUUGUUGGGGUGAUAGAAAAAUUAAAUUAACUUUUUUUUGUUAUUUACAUUAAUUUAUGAUUAAGUGAUCCAUUUAUAAUGAUUAAAAGAAAAAAUUACCUUAGGGAUAACAGCGUAAUUUUUUUUUUUAGUUCAAAUAGGAAAAAAAGUUUGCGACCUCGAUGUUGGAUUAA